AGGUGGAGCAGCUGAGUAGCUUGUUGAAGAUUUAAAGUAGUGUAGUUUACCUAUGACUCUUGAAGACCUUCAGUUUUAUUUUGUGUAAUUGUGUUAGUACCCUUAUGCUCUGGCAGGAUUAGAUGGUGAUAUACCCACAUUUUCUUGGUACUUUAACAUUUUGUUGAUUUUAUUGGAAAAGACAAUAUAUAAUAUUAUCUUGGGAGACAAUGGUUUACUAUAAAACUAAAGGUGUUAUGCACCCAC
RNAcentral lists this long non-coding RNA (246 nucleotides) under Lupinus angustifolius (narrow-leaved blue lupine). RNAcentral describes it as "long non-coding RNA (LANG_LNC002550)". Lineage: Eukaryota; Viridiplantae; Streptophyta; Magnoliopsida; Fabales; Fabaceae. The record is from RNAcentral.